GAUGAACGCUGGCGGCGUGCCUAACACAUGCAAGUCGAACGAAGCGCCUGGCCCCGACUUCUUCGGAACGAGGAGCCUUGCGACUGAGUGGCGGACGGGUGAGUAACGCGUGGGCAACCUGCCUUGCACUGGGGGAUAACAGCCAGAAAUGGCUGCUAAUACCGCAUAAGACCGAAGCGCCGCAUGGCGCAGCGGCCAAAGCCCCGGCGGUGCAAGAUGGGCCCGCGUCUGAUUAGGUAGUUGGCGGGGUAACGGCCCACCAAGCCGACGAUCAGUAGCCGACCUGAGAGGGUGACCGGCCACAUUGGGACUGAGACACGGCCCAGACUCCUACGGGAGGCAGCAGUGGGGAAUAUUGCACAAUGGGGGAAACCCUGAUGCAGCGACGCCGCGUGAAGGAUGAAGUAUUUCGGUAUGUAAACUUCUAUCAGCAGGGAAGAAGAUGACGG
This 449-nucleotide ribosomal RNA is filed under the name uncultured bacterium. Its description in RNAcentral is "bacterial SSU rRNA". It matches the Rfam family "Bacterial small subunit ribosomal RNA", at positions 28 to 457 of the family's 1533-position model. The record is from RNAcentral.